Molecule: long non-coding RNA, 429 nt
Organism: Malaclemys terrapin pileata
Lineage: Eukaryota; Metazoa; Chordata; Testudines; Emydidae
Exons: 3
Source: RefSeq, a predicted model, not a curated record
AAAUGAUUUUGCUACUAGAAACUAGUGCCAGGAUUACACAGGCCUCAGGCCGGACCUUUCCUGGCAGCUGUGAAGCCAACGCCCCCACCCCAUGUGUUUUAUGGGGUGAACUAACAGGAUACCGGGAUCCGAACCAAAACUACCUUCAAAUGAGUCUGCCUCUGGAUUUAGUGUGUCAAGGGGGCCCUGUCAUGGACCAGGACCCCAUUGUGCUAGGCACUGUACAAAUACAGAGCAAAAAGAUGGUCCCUGUCCCAAAAAGAAGAGACAAAUGAUGGAGACAGAAAGACCGACAGGACAGCACAAGGAAACAGUGAGCUGAUAGUAUCAUACCACAGGAUAUGAACCUACAUUGACAUUAAUGGAAAUUGAAUAGAGUGCAAAAAUAUGGAGCUUUUAAAAAAAUAUAUGGAGCUUCCAUUAGCUCUA